GAUGAAGAACGUAGUGAAAUGCGAUAAUUAAUGUGAAUUGCAGAAUUCAGUGAAUCAUCGAAUCUUUGAACGCACAUUGCGCCCCUUGGUAUCCCGAGGGGCAUGCCUGUUCGAGCGUCAUUUCACCACUCAAGCCUGGCUUGGUGUUGGGCGACGUCCUCUUUGGGGACGCGCCUCGAAACGCUCGGCGGCGUGGCACCGGCUUUAAGCGUAGCAGAAUCUUUCGCUUUGGAAGUCGGGGCCCCGUCUGCCGGAAGACCUGCUCGCAAGGUUGACCUCGGAUCAGGCAGGGAUACCCGCUGAACUUAAGCAUAUCAAUAAGCGGAGGA
This 329-nucleotide unclassified non-coding RNA is filed under the name soil metagenome. Its description in RNAcentral is "partial contains 5.8S ribosomal RNA, internal transcribed spacer 2, and large subunit ribosomal RNA". The stretch from base 1 to 120 matches the Rfam family "5.8S ribosomal RNA", at positions 35 to 154 of the family's 154-position model. The record is from RNAcentral.